GCCGGCAUAGCUCAGCAGGUAGAGCAACUGACUUGUAAUCAGUAGGUCCCGCGUUCGAUUCGUGGUGCCGGCACCA
RNAcentral lists this transfer RNA (76 nucleotides) under Ectothiorhodospiraceae bacterium BW-2. Its description in RNAcentral is "tRNA-Thr". It matches the Rfam family "tRNA". Rfam says of the family: Transfer RNA (tRNA) molecules are approximately 80 nucleotides in length. Their secondary structure includes four short double-helical elements and three loops (D, anti-codon, and T loops). Further hydrogen bonds mediate the characteristic L-shaped molecular structure. tRNAs have two regions of fundamental functional importance: the anti-codon, which is responsible for specific mRNA codon recognition, and the 3' end, to which the tRNAs corresponding amino acid is attached (by aminoacyl-tRNA synthetases). tRNAs cope with the degeneracy of the genetic code in two manners: having more than one tRNA (with a specific anti-codon) for a particular amino acid; and 'wobble' base-pairing, i.e. permitting non-standard base-pairing at the 3rd anti-codon position. Lineage: Bacteria; Pseudomonadati; Pseudomonadota; Gammaproteobacteria; Chromatiales; Ectothiorhodospiraceae. The record is from RNAcentral.